UGAAGAAAUUCUAAAUCAGAAAGUGAUUUUCUAAGGAGUACAUACACAAUAAUUUUAAUUCUUUAAAUUGCCCAGGACAACUGAGGAUUGCAUUCACCAACAUUAUAAAUUUUCACUGGGAGUCUACAGAGUACUCAAAGAAAUGGAAAAGCGAGUCAUCUGGUAAUGCUUUGUUGGUAACCAUCUGACAAGCUCAGUACACAGAGAAGAUGGCUGGGAAGGCAUAAGAGGUCACUGGGAUUCACCUCUACCUAGUCAUCCUAUGAUGAGCCAUAUAGAACUAUCAUGAAAAUAAACCCAUCCUCCAGAAUUUACCAUUCAAUAACUUUAUGCAAUGGAAAUUUUCAAGGCAGAUCUUCACUGGAUUAAUGAAGAGGACCUCUGUGUGCCUCAAGAAAUGGAGAAUGGGUUGCAAAGUGCUUCCCACAGCACUGCCCUGGAGCAGAGAGGGUACAGAUUACAGGGAGACAAGAUAGCGAGCAGCGAACACUGCACAGGUAUAAAAACCCCACUCCUAGGAAAACAAGCAGCUACAGCAGGCAUUUUGCUGAACAUGUUGUCAGGGAGAAAUACAGCUGAUAAAGAAGCAGAUGCUGAUGGAAAGGCUGCCCAUGCUCGGGAACUGACAAUAACAGCUCUGGUAUGAAGAGGUGAUCUGUAACACACAGACUAUAGAGAACGUGAACAGUGUGGGAUACAGAAAAAAAAUCAAUAAGCCAGUUCAAUACAAGAAGAGAAGUCAACCAGAACAGGACAGAAACCAUUACCUUAGCCACACCUGGAACCACACUGGGUAUGCCCUGGAGUUUUGAAUAUUUAUUGAUAGUUAAGUUCAUUGUACAACCUGUAGGGUAAGGAAGGAGCAGUGUGCUUGUCAUGUUACAAAAGUCCAUGAAGACCUAAGGGCCUGCAGGAUAUUCAGCCACUUUUUACGGAGAGUCUACUAAACUGUGUUUUAUCCCCCCUCAAAAGCUGGCAUGAGAUAUGCCUCCAGCUUCAAGCAAAACAACUCUGCCACUUUAGCAACUGC
This 1030-nucleotide long non-coding RNA is filed under the name Macaca nemestrina (pig-tailed macaque). RNAcentral's name for it is "lncRNA (ENSMNEG00000046017.1)". Lineage: Eukaryota; Metazoa; Chordata; Mammalia; Primates; Cercopithecidae. The record is from RNAcentral.